This 253-nucleotide ribosomal RNA is filed under the name uncultured bacterium. RNAcentral describes it as "partial 16S ribosomal RNA". It matches the Rfam family "Bacterial small subunit ribosomal RNA", at positions 524 to 776 of the family's 1533-position model. The record is from RNAcentral.
UACGUAGGGUGCAAGCGUUGUCCGGAUUUAUUGGGUUUAAAGGGUGCGUAGGCGGUUCGUUAAGUCCGGGGUGAAAGCCCACUGCUCAACAGUGGAACUGCCCUGGAUACUGGCGAGCUUGAGUCCAGACGAGGUUGGCGGAAUGGAAGCUGUAGCGGUGAAAUGCAUAGAUAGCUUCCAGAACCCCGAUUGCGUAGGCAGCUGACUAGGCUGGUACUGACACUGAGGCACGAAAGCGUGGGGAGCGAACAGG